This 80-nucleotide transfer RNA is filed under the name Puccinia triticina. RNAcentral describes it as "tRNA-Glu". It matches the Rfam family "tRNA". From Rfam's summary of the family: Transfer RNA (tRNA) molecules are approximately 80 nucleotides in length. Their secondary structure includes four short double-helical elements and three loops (D, anti-codon, and T loops). Further hydrogen bonds mediate the characteristic L-shaped molecular structure. tRNAs have two regions of fundamental functional importance: the anti-codon, which is responsible for specific mRNA codon recognition, and the 3' end, to which the tRNAs corresponding amino acid is attached (by aminoacyl-tRNA synthetases). tRNAs cope with the degeneracy of the genetic code in two manners: having more than one tRNA (with a specific anti-codon) for a particular amino acid; and 'wobble' base-pairing, i.e. permitting non-standard base-pairing at the 3rd anti-codon position. Lineage: Eukaryota; Fungi; Basidiomycota; Pucciniomycetes; Pucciniales; Pucciniaceae. RNAcentral also lists the same sequence under 1 other name. The record is from RNAcentral.
UCCGAAUUCGUAUAUCGGCUAGUAUGACCGCCUCUCAGGACAGUGCGCGGUAGAGACGGGUUCGAUUCCCGUAUUCGGAA